CAAAGACAUUCCUGAGACAUGGAAGUUGGCCCUGAGGCGGGACAGGCCUGGACCUGUUGGACAAAGAAAAAUUUCAGGAAUGCAUGAGGGCAUUCACCAGCCGGACAGUCACGGAGUCCACCAUGGCAGGGUACCAGCCAGUACGGCAAAAGGAAGAGGUCCCCACUUGCCACGGGCGUCAUCAGAUCCAGUGCCUUCAAAAGACAUCCUGCAUGCCUGACACAAAGAUCUGUUUUAAAUAAAUAACUUCUGCUGGUAACCUAAUACUCGCUCUCCUCCUACCACCUAGUGACGUCACCGGCUCCUCCAUUCCCUAGUCACUGCCUCACUCAACCCCGCCUCAGCUCCUACAAACCCCACCCCAGUCUCUAUAAAAGGCACUUGCUGUCCUGGCCAUAUUGCUUUUGUCUCUCCUUUGUUCGGAGACACCCUGGCA
Molecule: long non-coding RNA, 436 nt
Organism: Heterocephalus glaber (naked mole-rat)
Lineage: Eukaryota; Metazoa; Chordata; Mammalia; Rodentia; Bathyergidae
Source: Ensembl